RNAcentral lists this ribosomal RNA (748 nucleotides) under Vibrio sp. Evd9. RNAcentral describes it as "bacterial SSU rRNA". It matches the Rfam family "Bacterial small subunit ribosomal RNA", at positions 94 to 835 of the family's 1533-position model. Lineage: Bacteria; Pseudomonadati; Pseudomonadota; Gammaproteobacteria; Vibrionales; Vibrionaceae. The record is from RNAcentral.
AGCGGCGGACGGGUGAGUAAUGCCUAGGAAGUUGCCCGGUAGAGGGGGAUAACCAUUGGAAACGAUGGCUAAUACCGCAUAAUCUCUAUGGAGCAAAGCAGGGGACCUUCGGGCCUUGUGCUACCGGAUACGCCUAGGUGGGAUUAGCUAGUUGGUGAGGUAAUGGCUCACCAAGGCAACGAUCCCUAGCUGGUCUGAGAGGAUGAUCAGCCACACUGGAACUGAGACACGGUCCAGACUCCUACGGGAGGCAGCAGUGGGGAAUAUUGCACAAUGGGCGAAAGCCUGAUGCACCCAUGCCGCGUGUAUGAAGAAGGCCUUCGGGUUGUAAAGUACUUUCAGUUGUGAGGAAGGGUGUGUAGUUAAUAACUGCAUAUCUUGACGUUAGCAACAGAAGAAGCACCGGCUAACUCCGUGCCAGCAGCCGCGGUAAUACGGAGGGUGCGAGCGUUAAUCGGAAUUACUGGGCGUAAAGCGCAUGCAGGUGGUUCAUUAAGUCAGAUGUGAAAGCCCGGGGCUCAACCUCGGAACUGCAUUUGAAACUGGUGAACUAGAGUACUGUAGAGGGGGGUAGAAUUUCAGGUGUAGCGGUGAAAUGCGUACAGAUCUGAAGGAAUACCAGUGGCGAAGGCGGCCCCCUGGACACGAUACUGACACUCACAUGCGAAAGCGUGGGGAGCAAACAGGAUUACGAUACCCUGUGUAGUCCACGCCGUAAACGAUGUCUACUUGGAGGUUGUGGCCUUGA